This 322-nucleotide ribosomal RNA is filed under the name uncultured Bacteroidota bacterium. RNAcentral describes it as "bacterial SSU rRNA". It matches the Rfam family "Bacterial small subunit ribosomal RNA", at positions 28 to 351 of the family's 1533-position model. The record is from RNAcentral. Lineage: Bacteria; Pseudomonadati; Bacteroidota.
GAUGAACGCUAGCGGGAGGCCUAACACAUGCAAGUCGAACGGGAUUGAGAGCUUGCUCUCAUGAGAGUGGCGCACGGGUGAGUAACGCGUAUGCAACCUACCUGUAACAGAGGGAUAGCCCAUAGAAAUGUGGAUUAAUACCUCAUAGUUCUAUUAGAUCGCAUGAUUUUAUAGAUAAAACUCCGGUGGUUACAGAUGGGCAUGCGUGACAUUAGUUUGUUGGUGAGGUAACGGCUCACCAAGACUACGAUGUCUAGGGGUUCUGAGAGGAUGAUCCCCCACACUGGUACUGAGACACGGACCAGACUCCUACGGGAGGCUG